GUCUCCGUAGUUCAGUGGCAGAACGGUUCUCUCCUAAAGAACUGGUCGAGGGUUCGAUUCCCUCCGGGGACAC
This 73-nucleotide transfer RNA is filed under the name Microbacterium phage Zooman. Its description in RNAcentral is "tRNA-Arg". It matches the Rfam family "tRNA". Rfam says of the family: Transfer RNA (tRNA) molecules are approximately 80 nucleotides in length. Lineage: Duplodnaviria; Heunggongvirae; Uroviricota; Caudoviricetes. The record is from RNAcentral.